Molecule: non-coding RNA, 181 nt
Filed under: Geobacter sp.
Lineage: Bacteria; Pseudomonadati; Thermodesulfobacteriota; Desulfuromonadia; Geobacterales; Geobacteraceae
Source: RNAcentral
AACAUAGACGUUCGUCUUGGUGCCCCGAGAGGGGUUAAAAGGGAAGAGGGUGAGAAUCCCUCGCUGUCCCGCAACUGUGAACGGAGAUGAAAGCCGCAACAACGCCACUGAUCGCAUCGGGAAGGCGCGGCGAGUAAGACGACCCGUGAGUCAGGAAACCUGCCAGGAUGAGAAGCUUUAU